This is a non-coding RNA of Paramuricea clavata, 240 nucleotides long. The record is from the annotation of a GenBank genome assembly. Lineage: Eukaryota; Metazoa; Cnidaria; Anthozoa; Malacalcyonacea; Plexauridae.
GUUCCUAACUUCCUGUUCUGUUCUGGGCGUUGCAAUUGGCUAACAAAAAUAAUCGACCAAUAACAACGCUCAGAGCAGAACAGGAAGUUAGGAAAUUAAAACAGGAAGUUAGGAAAAUUUAAAAUGAAGUUUGGAAUAUUGCAACAGCCGAUAGGAACAUUGCAAAUUCCCUCAAAGGAUUUGCAAAGAGUUUUUCAAAUUUGCAAAGCUAAUGAGGAAAAUUCCAAAUGAGUUACGAAG